Molecule: long non-coding RNA, 433 nt
Filed under: Panax ginseng (ginseng)
Lineage: Eukaryota; Viridiplantae; Streptophyta; Magnoliopsida; Apiales; Araliaceae
Description: long non-coding RNA (PGIN_LNC019182)
Source: RNAcentral
GUACGUAAAUUUCCAGGGCGAAAUUCCAUAAGGAGGGGAGAUUGUGAGACCCCAGAUUUUAUGAAUAAAUAUUUAAUUUUCUCGAAGUAAUUUUUUUAAUAUUAUGGUGUGGAUUUGAUAUAAUGUUAUAGUUGUGGGUAGUAUUUAUAAAUUUUGAAAAGUAUGCAAGUUGUUGUAUAAUAUUCGAUUGGUCGGGGAAUAUCCGUACAACGGAAUUAUUGUCGGAUGGAGAAAAUGACAAAAAUAUUUUUAUGAAAAUAACGGCGGAAGUUGUACCGUAACUGUUGAACUACUCGGUAGUAAAAGUACAGUAAUACGCGUGGUUGGAUAGUAGCACGUGGUAUUGAUUAUUGAUGUUUACGUGAUAAGUCACUCAGUUUUGUUUUAUUGGUAUUAUUAAUGUAAUAAAACAGAAAAACUUUUUAUAUAAAAU